Long non-coding RNA from Triticum dicoccoides, 117 nucleotides. RefSeq lists it as uncharacterized. The transcript is spliced from 3 exons. Lineage: Eukaryota; Viridiplantae; Streptophyta; Magnoliopsida; Poales; Poaceae. The record is from RefSeq and is a predicted model, not a curated record.
UGUUUCUCACCUCACAGUUACCAUGGAACUCUUGAAUUGGAUGCUUAAAGGUGCAACUCCUUCAUUUAUAUAGCCAUGCACGUUUCUUUUGCAUGUGGCUCCUCUUUCUCCAGUGGG